This 119-nucleotide ribosomal RNA is filed under the name Sinocyclocheilus rhinocerous. The record is from RNAcentral. Lineage: Eukaryota; Metazoa; Chordata; Actinopteri; Cypriniformes; Cyprinidae.
UAUGCCAGCAGCUAUCACUCUGCAGCUCUCGCCUGGUCGCCCACUGAAGCUAAGCAGGGCUGAGCCUGGUCAGUACCUGAAUGGGAGACCCUCACUGGGGUGUGAGGCGUGUGGCGUGU